RNAcentral lists this long non-coding RNA (2449 nucleotides) under Numida meleagris (helmeted guineafowl). Its description in RNAcentral is "lncRNA (ENSNMEG00000018307.1)". Lineage: Eukaryota; Metazoa; Chordata; Aves; Galliformes; Numididae. The record is from RNAcentral.
AAGCGAGCGAGCUGCUUGUCGAUCGAGCCGCUUCCCCGAGCGGCGGCGGAGCGGCUGGCUGGAAAGCCGUCCAUCAGCAACCAGUCCGACCUGCCCGUGAUAAUAUGCGAUCAACACCAAAUCACCCCCGCCAGGCACGAUCCAUCAUCGCCGCGAUGCGAUGGGCCCUUUUAUGGCUGUGCCUACGCGGGGGGCGGGCGAGAGGGAAGGGGGAGGGAGCGGAGUGGAGGGAGCAGGGAGCGUGUGAGUGGGGAGGGGGGCAUCCGCCGCAAUGGGAACCGCAGCCCCCCCGGCUCUCGAAGCGGCGAAGCCGAAAGUUGCCGGGCCGGGGCUGCGCCUGGCAGCGGGCCCCGCCGCCUCCGCCUGCCGUCAGCCUCCCCUCCCCCCGCCGGCUCCUCCGGGGCGAGCUUGACUGGCGUUAAAUUAAUAAUUAAUCGGGUGAAAUUGAUUAAAGGGCUCUGCGCGCGAUGGGGCGCGGGGAGAGCCCUUUGCCUCCGCUCCGGCAGCGGGGAGCCGCCGGCCCAGGGAGCUCCGGGGGCGCCCGGCCCGAGCAGGAAGGAAAAGGGCGGCGGGGAGCGGGGCGGGGGAGGAAGGCGGCGGCGGCGGCGGCGGCGGCGGCGGCUGCCAGCCCCAGCAGGUGCGGAGUGUUCAGUAAGGCGAGCGGGUGCGGGGCCGCGUGGUGGUGCGGGGGGGCGGCCGGGAAGGCGCGGUUGGUCCAGNNNNNNNNNNNNNNNNGAGCGGGGCGGGGGAGGAAGGCGGCGGCGGCGGCUGCAGCAGCAGCAGCAGCAGCCCCGCUGGUGGCUGCCUGCAAGCGAGAGCGGCGGCGGCGGCGGCAGCAGCAGCAGGCGAGGGCUGGCCCCGGGCUGGCUCGGCUCCGCGCAGCUGGGACUGCGUGUGCGUGUACAAAGCCGGAGCCCGGGAGCAGCCCGAGGGCGGUGCUCGGCACCACAACGCCAACCCUUCUUCCCUUCCCUGCCCCCCCCGCCGAGAUCAGUCUCUGCCACGGAGGGAGUGGGGAACCGCAGGGGACGCGGCCGGGCCGGCGCACGCCUCAGCUGCAGCCCCGCCGAGCUUAAUUCUGCUGCAGACCUCAGCCUUAACGAACAGGUAGGCACGGCUUAGCUCAGCAUCAUUUUAAAUGCCAGGUUCAAAAAACGUUAAACUCUACCAGGUCGUGGGUGAUCGGGCUCUCCUUUGUCAGAGAUUCAUACUGAAGACAAACAUUGGUGGCAAUUGUGUCUAAAAAUACUUCAGAACCUGCUUCUUGGGGGAUAACGCAGACGCCAGGCGCCUGACCACGGCUGUAAAUUGCUGUCAGUGACAGAGCUUGGGCGUAUUUAGGGGACCCGGGUUUGCCCUUUCCUUGACAGGACAGUGGCUCGCCUUGGGGUUCGUCUGCUCAUGUCACUGUCAUCUGUCAUGACACACUCAUACGGGACCCAGCUGCUUACACUGGGAAAGAAGAAAUGUGAAAAUAAUUGGUUGAUGCUUAUGUGGCUCCUUAGGCUACACCUGCAUAGCCCUUUUCAGGGCUCUCUAUUUGAAGAAUCAUUAACCUUACAUAUACAUACUGCCCUAUAUCUUAGAUAAUGUGCCCUACUGCCGUUAACCUUUACAUAAUGCAAGUGCAGAAAAAGCCUCAUCACCACUGAGCGCAUCCUGGUACAAUCUGGCUGCCAUUUAACAAUUAUACUGAAAGCAUCGUCAUGUUUCGGUAUACUCCUUUCUGAGGUGAGAUUGAUCCUCCUAGAAUCUUUUCAACUCUGGGUUUUUAGCAAUGCAGAAUACCCCCAAUACACCAGAAUGCCCGAGGGCCAGGCUGUGAACACAGAGCCACUCGCUGUUGCUGAGAAGUGGCCGCCAAGCAGAGUGAACACAGUGAGCACCAGCUCUGGCACACAGAGGGCUCUGGCUGCUGCCUGUGCUCAGCACGGCGCUGCCUCCGGCUUCUCCCAGCAGUGCUGGCAGGGCCUCAGCCCGGGCUCAGUGCUUGGCCGCGUGCUGUACUAUGCAUGCAGGGGAUGGGCUUGGGCAGCGUGCUACCAGCAUUAUGAGGGAUUUAAGGGGGGGAGAGAAAAGCGUGACUCCUCAGCAUAAGAUUCACACAGCAAAGGCCCUAUAAGGGAAAGCCCCGUAUCCCUGGAACAUGAGUGCAGACAUAUUGUUAGAGAGUAGAAAGGCAGUAAUUAGGGCUGGGGACCGAUCACACUCUGUUGCCAGAGGAGAUGAUUCUCACUGCGGAUACACAGCCAGCUCUGUUUUACUCUAUCAUUUCUGUUUUUGAGCCUGCUGGAAACCUCGGAGAAGUGACAAACAGGAAUCAGAAGAGUGCAAGAAAAGUUACUUCUGGGCAAAAUGUCAUCCACCAGGAUGCCACUUACAGUGUAUUUUGGUAAAAGUCCCCAAAUUACAGUUCUUCAAUAUUAAAAUAAAUAUCAGGCAUAAUACA